This 872-nucleotide ribosomal RNA is filed under the name uncultured bacterium. Its description in RNAcentral is "bacterial SSU rRNA". It matches the Rfam family "Bacterial small subunit ribosomal RNA", at positions 9 to 873 of the family's 1533-position model. The record is from RNAcentral.
AGAGUUUGAUCAUGGCUCAGGACGAACGCUGGCGGCGUGCUUAACACAUGCAAGUCGAACGGUGAAGAGGAGCUUGCUUCUUGGAUCAGUGGCGAACGGGUGAGUAACACGUGAGCAAUCUGCCCUUGACUCUGGGAUAACUGCGGGAAACUGUAGCUAAUACCGGAUAUUACCUUGGAAGGCAUCUUCUGGGGUGGAAAGAAUUUUGGUCAAGGAUGAGCUCGCGGCCUAUCAGCUAGUUGGUGAGGUAAUGGCUCACCAAGGCGACGACGGGUAGCCGGCCUGAGAGGGUGACCGGCCACACUGGGACUGAGACACGGCCCAGACUCCUACGGGAGGCAGCAGUGGGGAAUAUUGCACAAUGGGCGCAAGCCUGAUGCAGCAACGCCGCGUGAGGGACGACGGCCUUCGGGUUGUAAACCUCUUUUAGUAGGGAAGAAGUGACCGGGUUUUCCUGGAAGUGACGGUACCUGCAGAAAAAGCACCGGCUAACUACGUGCCAGCAGCCGCGGUAAUACGUAGGGUGCAAGCGUUGUCCGGAAUUAUUGGGCGUAAAGAGCUCGUAGGCGGUUUGUUGCGUCUGCUGUGAAAACCCGAGGCUCAACCUCGGGCCUGCAGUGGGUACGGGCAGACUAGAGUGCGGUAGGGGAGAUUGGAAUUCCUGGUGUAGCGGUGGAAUGCGCAGAUAUCAGGAGGAACACCAAUGGCGAAGGCAGAUCUCUGGGCCGUAACUGACGCUGAGGAGCGAAAGCAUGGGGAGCGAACAGGAUUAGAUACCCUGGUAGCCCAUGCCGUAAACGUUGGGAACUAGAUGUGGGGACCAUUUCCCACGGUCUCCGUGUCGCAGCUAACGCAUUAAGUUCCCCGCCUGG